GGUACCACUUCUGUCUGUACAGGGAGUUUAAACAUUCACAGCGUAAACAUGAAGUCAGACGCUUUGCUCUGCUGUGGCUUAUAGGCCAACUUUUCUUCUUCUUUUUCUUUUUGUCAAUUUAAAGUCAAAUAUGUCGUCAUGUAUUUCUAAGUGAGACGCAAUAUCAGCGAGGGUCUCUGAGCUAGCCGAGGGUUUCCUUCUAUGACUGAAGCGGUCUCUGAGGGAGAGAGAGAGCAGCACCUCUUCCUUUACUGAUGCCACUGAAGACAUGAAACAAGAGACCAAGGCCCAAUCCCAUUUCACCCCUCGCCCCUACCGCUUAGCCCUCACACCCUCCGUUUUGCACAGUCACGCAUAGGGUAGGGUGUACCGGCAAGAUGGCUGCACAAGCAAGCAAAGAAAUACACAAAUCAGGAAAAGGCCGGAGUCGCUGUUCUCAGAUGAGGCAGGAGAGCUGCGGUCCUCUGAUGUGGGGCUCUCAUCAGGAACACUGAGAAAACACACUCCAGUUAAACAACCAGGGAAUGAAGAGGGGUGAAUGAGUGUCAUGUCUAGAGAUGGCAUGAUACUGCAGUGUGUUUCCUGACACCGAAACCUUGAGAAUCGACUGACACCAAAGCUGAUCUGAUAUUUCUUCUUUAAAAACGAUUUUACUUUAAAAUGAACUAUUAGCGAAGAAGUUCACUUAAGAGGUGCAUUAAAAAGUAUGCAAUCAUGCUUAAACUACUCAAACACUCUGCUACCCCACAGGAAGAAAUACACAGCUAACAUCAUAUCACAUAUUACAUGUGAGCAUAUGCUAUUUCAGGAUAGAUUUGUUACAGUAUUGGACCAGAUUCAUUUAUUUUCCCCUCCGAUAUCUGAUCCAGUAUUUUCUGCUGACACCGGCUUGAUCUCUAGUCAUGUCACCAAAAGAAAAGAGAUACUGUUCAAAAUUUGAGACCAUCCUUCAUUUCAUUUCCAGUCAAAAUGUCCAUUAAGAACAUGUUACUCAUUUUUCAGCAUGUGGAAAAAUAUAAAAAAUCAGCAAACAUUGCACACAAGCCUCAAAAACUAAAUACAAUAUAAUUUUGUUCAGUAUUUUGUGUCUCUCCUGUUUUUCUUUAAUGCAGCUCCUAUCCGUUUCAGGAGACUUGCUUACAGUUUUGUUAGGAAAUUUUCAGGUGUAUUUUUUUCACACCUUUAAAGUUCUGUUUUAGAAGUUGGUUGUAUUUUCAGCCUUACACAUUCAGUAAUGUUGAGGUCUGGGCUCUGGGGUGAUGAGUCCAUUCUUAUGACAACAUGACCAGCUUCUUUGUUUGAUUCGUCUAUUUCCUUUUCUCAGUAACAGCUUUUUGACAGCUACACAUCCUUUC
Colossoma macropomum (tambaqui) is the source of this 1355-nucleotide long non-coding RNA. RefSeq lists it as uncharacterized. NCBI's taxonomy places the organism in Eukaryota, Metazoa, Chordata, Actinopteri, Characiformes, Serrasalmidae. The transcript is spliced from 4 exons. The record is from RefSeq and is a predicted model, not a curated record.